Molecule: ribosomal RNA, 61 nt
Filed under: Talaromyces brunneus
Lineage: Eukaryota; Fungi; Ascomycota; Eurotiomycetes; Eurotiales; Trichocomaceae
Description: partial 28S ribosomal RNA
Rfam family: Eukaryotic large subunit ribosomal RNA
Source: RNAcentral
GGUUGACCUCGGAUCAGGUAGGGCUACCCGCUGAACUUAAGCAUAUCAAUAAGCGGAGGAA